GGUUCUGUUCUCUCCUCUCCACGUUAACUCGAGUCUCUUCUGAGCCGCGUGGAAACAGCAGGUGUAAAUAAGGCUUUCAGGAAACAUCGGAACAUCACAAAAUACUGAAAGAUCUCCAGAAACCCAUAUGCAGAAUUGAUUCUUAGGAAGCUGUUCAGAAAUUGUUGGACUUUGCCAG
This is a long non-coding RNA of Scleropages formosus (Asian bonytongue), 178 nucleotides long. RefSeq lists it as uncharacterized. NCBI's taxonomy places the organism in Eukaryota, Metazoa, Chordata, Actinopteri, Osteoglossiformes, Osteoglossidae. The record is from RefSeq and is a predicted model, not a curated record. The transcript has 3 exons.